CUUUCAACGGCCGCGGUAUCCUAACCGUGCAAAGGUAGCACAAUCACUUGUCUUCUAAAUAAAGACUAGUAUGAACGGCCACAUGAGGGCCCAACUGUCCCUUGUAGUAAAUCAAUGAACCUGCUCUUCCAGUCCAAAAGCUGGAAUUAACCCAUAAGACGAGAAGACCCUGUGGAGCUUUAGCUACAUCAUUAUAUCAAAAUAAUAAAAGCUUUAGUUGGGGCAACUGCGGAACAAAACAAAACCUCCAUGCCCGGAGCCAGCCGAACAAGGCCCACUAGCCAAAUACAACCCACCAACUGACCCAGUCAUACUGACUAGUGAACCAAGUUACCCCAGGGAUAACAGCGCCAUCCUCUUUAAGAGCUCCUAUCGUCAAGAGGGUUUACGACCUCGAUGUUGGAUCAGGGCCCCCAGGUGGCGCAGCCGCUACCAAUGGUUCGUUUGUUCAACGACUAACGCCCUACGUGAUCUGAGUUCAGACCGGA
Molecule: ribosomal RNA, 488 nt
Filed under: Pseudogonatodes guianensis
Lineage: Eukaryota; Metazoa; Chordata; Lepidosauria; Squamata; Sphaerodactylidae
Description: partial 16S ribosomal RNA
Rfam family: Bacterial large subunit ribosomal RNA
Source: RNAcentral